Molecule: non-coding RNA, 45 nt
Organism: Schistosoma mattheei
Lineage: Eukaryota; Metazoa; Platyhelminthes; Trematoda; Strigeidida; Schistosomatidae
Source: Rfam
AUCCAAGUGACGGGUUCUAAAUAGGACGAAAUGUACAUCCUAGAU